CCUACGGGUGGCAGCAGUGGGGGAUAUUGGACAAUGGGGGGAACCCUGAUCCAGCGACGCCGCGUGAGUGAAGAAGUAUCUCGGUAUGUAAAGCUCUAUCAGCAGGGAAGAAGAAAUGACGGUACCUGAGUAAGAAGCCCCGGCUAACUACGUGCCAGCAGCCGCGGUAAUACGUAGGGGGCAAGCGUUAUCCGGAAUUACUGGGGGGAAAGGGCGCGUAGACGGUGAUGUAAGGCUGGAGUGAAAGGCGGGGGGCCAACCCCCGGACUGCUCUGGGUACUAGGUGACUAGAGUGAAGGAGAGGUGAGCGGAAUUCCUAGUGUAGCGGUGAAAUGCGUAGAUAUAAGGAGGAACACCAGUGGCGAAGGCGGCUCACUGGACUUUAACUGACGUUGAGGCUCGAAAGCGUGGGGAGCAAACAGGAUUAGAUACCCGAGUAGUC
RNAcentral lists this ribosomal RNA (442 nucleotides) under uncultured bacterium. RNAcentral's name for it is "partial 16S ribosomal RNA". It matches the Rfam family "Bacterial small subunit ribosomal RNA", at positions 338 to 795 of the family's 1533-position model. The record is from RNAcentral.